UGUAUAAUGGGUCAGCGACUUAUAUUCUGUAGCAAGGUUAACCGAAUAGGGGAGCCGGAGGGAAACCGAGUCUUAAUUGGGCGUUAAGUUGCAGGGUAUAGACCCGAAACCCGGUGAUCUAGCCAUGGGCAGGUUGAAGGUUGGGUAACACUAACUGGAGGACCGAACCGACUAAUGUUGAAAAAUUAGCGGAUGACCUGUGGCUGGGGGUGAAAGGCCAAUCAAACCGGGAGAUAGCUGGUUCUCCCCGAAAGCUAUUUAGGUAGCGCCUCGUGAAUUCAUCUCCGGGGGUAGAGCACUGUUUCGGCUAGGGGGCCAUCCCGGCUUACCAACCCGAUGCAAACUGCGAAUACCGGAGAAUGUUAUCACGGGAGACACACGGCGGGUGCUAACGUCCGUCGUGAAGAGGGAAACAACCCAGACCGCCAGCUAAGGUCCCAAAGUCAUGGUUAAGUGGGAAACGAUGUGGGAAGGCCCAGACAGCCAGGAUGUUGGCUUAGAAGCAGCCAUCAUUUAAAGAAAGCGUAAUAGCUCACUGGUCGAGUCGGCCUGCGCGGAAGAUGUAACGGGGCUAAACCAUGCACCGAAGCUGCGGCAGCGACGUUUAUGCGUUGUUGGGUAGGGGAGCGUUCUGUAAGCCUGCGAA
Molecule: ribosomal RNA, 646 nt
Filed under: Salmonella enterica subsp. enterica serovar Bovismorbificans
Lineage: Bacteria; Pseudomonadati; Pseudomonadota; Gammaproteobacteria; Enterobacterales; Enterobacteriaceae
Description: partial 23S ribosomal RNA
Rfam family: Bacterial large subunit ribosomal RNA
Source: RNAcentral